CAUAAAAUCAAGAAGGCAAAACGGAGAGAGGUUUUUUUUUCACAGCUCUAGUGUUUGCCCUCUCUCCACCACUUAUGCUGCUUUGGUGUCUACUUUAAAAGGUGGAAGUAUUCAUUAGCAGCUCUGCAGUUCUCCUGAAGAAAAGACCGGAUCCUACCGUAUCUAAUGGCUCUGAAUCAGUGUGGCUGAAAUCCCUGCUCGGAGACAAAAAUGGAAAUGCUCUCCCUGCAAUCACAGCCUUUCAUCCAGCCCACUAGGAAAUAUCGUGUCUAUUAGCCAUUAGCUGAUCUGAUAUCCUGGUUUAGACAGCUCAGGCGUCUCUCUGUGUGGCUGUUUGGAGGGAGACUGAAGAGAUUGCAGGCUUCGACCCAUGUGUCUGUUGAUUGACUCAAAUCAACCAAACUGUGGCCCAGAUCAGGCUGUCUGGAAACAGAUGUCCAUUGGUGAUUGAUUUGAUUGGCUGUCUAAUGCAUUGCCAAAUGUGUGUGAAUGCUCUGGAAGAGUCAAGGAGUCAUGUUACGAUGUGUUUGUUAGAAACAGGUUGUAAAAAUACGUUGGCAGAUUUAACAAUGUGAUGAUGGAUGUCAACAUACUUCUUGGAGUGAAGAUACAUUUUAGGAAAUGAUUCACCAAUGAAAUUAUAUAUGAUUAUGUAUAUUUCUAUUAAAAAAACGUCUUUAUGAAAAAUAGCAGCUUUGAGGUCCUGUCCUUCAGAACAUCAUUUAGGCACAUCUGUUAACUUUCAAUAAUAUUCUGAAGGAAUUUAAUUUGUGUUUUGCAAUAAGAUUAUACAUAUUAUAAAUGGAAUCAUGUGUAAUACUUUGUUCUCAGAACAGGUAAUGCUAUCCCAUAUCCAAAUUCCAUAACGUUGUAGGUACACUAAGAACAUUGUUUUGGAAGUGUUGUUAACUAUGCAGCUAAUCGUUCAAAAGGGAA
Oncorhynchus tshawytscha (Chinook salmon) is the source of this 936-nucleotide long non-coding RNA. RefSeq lists it as uncharacterized. The transcript is spliced from 3 exons. NCBI's taxonomy places the organism in Eukaryota, Metazoa, Chordata, Actinopteri, Salmoniformes, Salmonidae. The record is from RefSeq and is a predicted model, not a curated record.